RNAcentral lists this ribosomal RNA (532 nucleotides) under Bacillus sp. (in: firmicutes). Its description in RNAcentral is "bacterial SSU rRNA". It matches the Rfam family "Bacterial small subunit ribosomal RNA", at positions 62 to 572 of the family's 1533-position model. The record is from RNAcentral. Lineage: Bacteria; Bacillati; Bacillota; Bacilli; Caryophanales; Bacillaceae.
UCGAGCGAAUGGAUUAAGAGCUUGCUCUUAUGAAGUUAGCGGCGGACGGGUGAGUAACACGUGGGUAACCUGCCCAUAAGACUGGGAUAACUCCGGGAAACCGGGGCUAAUACCGGAUAACAUUUUGAACCGCAUGGUUCAAAAUUGAAAGGCGGCUUCGGCUGUCACUUAUGGAUGGACCCGCGUCGCAUUAGCUAGUUGGUGAGGUAACGGCUCACCAAGGCAACGAUGCGUAGCCGACCUGAGAGGGUGAUCGGCCACACUGGGACUGAGACACGGCCCAGACUCCUACGGGAGGCAGCAGUAGGGAAUCUUCCGCAAUGGACGAAAGUCUGACGGAGCAACGCCGCGUGAGUGAUGAAGGCUUUCGGGUCGUAAAACUCUGUUGUUAGGGAAGAACAAGUGCUAGUUGAAUAACCUGGCACCUUGACGGUACCUAACCAGAAAGCCACGGCUAACUACUUGCCAGCACCCGCGGUAAUACUUAGGUGGCAAGCGUUAUCCCGGAAAUUAUUGGGCGUAAAGCGCGCGC